Molecule: signal recognition particle RNA, 148 nt
Filed under: Gorilla gorilla gorilla (western lowland gorilla)
Lineage: Eukaryota; Metazoa; Chordata; Mammalia; Primates; Hominidae
Description: Metazoan signal recognition particle RNA
Rfam family: Metazoan signal recognition particle RNA
About the family: The signal recognition particle (SRP) is a universally conserved ribonucleoprotein.
Source: Rfam by way of RNAcentral
GCUGGGCAUGGUGGUGCAUGCCCGUAGUCCCAGCUACUUGGGGGGCUGAGGUGGGAGGAUCACUUGAGCCCAGGAGGUUGAGGCUGUAGUGAGCUGAGAUCGUGCCACUGCACUCCAGCCUGGGUGACAAAGUGAGACCCUGUCUCAA